Molecule: unclassified non-coding RNA, 1292 nt
Filed under: Trichogramma pretiosum
Lineage: Eukaryota; Metazoa; Arthropoda; Insecta; Hymenoptera; Trichogrammatidae
Description: metaxin-2, transcript variant X2
Source: RNAcentral
GUUUGUUUUUUCGCGCAACGUCGAUCGCACUGGCACAACGGGGGGCACAUGUUUGCUGCAUGCCAAUGCGCCGGCCCGCAAAACGCGCGACUCCAAAGUUCUGCCUGCUGGCCUAGCUUUAGUUUUCAGAGCAUCGCGUUGACACGAUUUCGUCUGUUUUCUCACGAUAAUAUAAUAAGUCUGCUGCGACUCUCUGGAGAGUGUGUAUACAAUAUUGAGCUAGUCUGAAACAGUUAUAGUAAAACGAGCUUGAUAGAUUUUUUUGCAUCAUGCAGAACUCGACGUUACUGGAGCCCUGGGACGCUGGCUUAGGAGCUCAGGAGCCAUGGCCACAGCCGAUUCAUCUGUAUCAACCUUACGAGGUCGAGCAAAUACUUCUGCCGGACAAUGCCAAUUGUUUGGCAGUACAGGCCUAUCUGAAGAUGUGUAAUCUCGAUUUUACGAUCGAACCCAGAUGGAACGCCGAGUUUAUGUCGCCCUCUGGACGAGUGCCCUUCAUCAAAUGUGGAGCCUUCGUCGUGCCGGAUUUCGACAAUAUCGUCUCGUUCCUCAACAGCAAAGGCACCAACUUGUCUGAGAGUCUGUCGUCUGAAGAUAAAGUCAACUUGAGGGCCUUCCUGUCAUUGGUCAAUAAUGUGCUUUACAACUCGGAGCUGUACGUUACUUGGUAUCACAUGGAUACAUACAAAACCAUUACCAAAGAGAGGCAUGGUAGCGUUUACCCAUGGCCCCUCAAUCAUAUGCUGAAUUGGCAAAAGAGAAAUCAAGUUAUCAAAAGGCUCAAUAUUUUGGGCUAUAAAAAUAAAAAACUUGAUGAUGUGUUUGAGGAUGUUAAGAAGUGCUGUGAAUCGCUUUCUGAAAGGUUGGAGGAUAAACCAUAUUUCUUUGGAAACAAUCCAAAUGAAUUAGACGCAUUGGUUUUUUCUCAUGUUCACACCUUAACAACAUCAAAUCUUCCUUCACCUGUCCAAGAUAUUGCCACAAUCAUCCGCAGUUAUCCUCGACUCCUUGAUCAUGCUUAUACUAUUAAAAAAUGCUAUUUUAACCAUACUCUUAAUCAUAGUUUAGAAAGUUUUGAAGUUAUUCCAUUAUCAUCUGAAGAAUCUAUUGUAGAAGUAUUAUGUUAAUAUUUUCUUAAACAUAUUUGUUAAAAAUUAAAAUGAAAGCAAUCUUGUAACUUUUUCAAGUUUUUCAAAAUUAACCUAAUGAAUUGGAUGCAUUGGUAUUUGGACACAUUUUUAGUAUCAUAACAACGCCGUUAACUAACAACGUUCUGGGAUCAAUAGUCAGAA